Molecule: ribosomal RNA, 587 nt
Filed under: uncultured bacterium
Lineage: Bacteria
Description: partial 16S ribosomal RNA
Rfam family: Bacterial small subunit ribosomal RNA
Source: RNAcentral
UGGGGAAUUUUGGACAAUGGGCGAAAGCCUGAUCCAGCAAUGCCGCGUGUGUGAAGAAGGCCUUCGGGUUGUAAAGCACUUUUGUCCGGAAAGAAAUCCUUGGCUCUAAUACAGUCGGGGGAUGACGGUACCGGAAGAAUAGGCACCGGCUAACUACGUGCCAGCAGCCGCGGUAAUACGUAGGGUGCAAGCGUUAAUCGGAAUUACUGGGCGUAAAGCGUGCGCAGGCGGUUUGCUAAGACCGAUGUGAAAUCCCCGGGCUCAACCUGGGAACUGCAUUGGUGACUGGCAGGCUAGAGUAUGGCAGAGGGGGGUAGAAUUCCACGUGUAGCAGUGAAAUGCGUAGAGAUGUGGAGGAAUACCGAUGGCGAAGGCAGCCCCCUGGGCCAAUACUGACGCUCAUGCACGAAAGCGUGGGGAGCAAACAGGAUUAGAUACCCUGGUAGUCCAGCGCCCUAAACGAUGUCAACUAGUUGUUGGGGAUUCAUUUCCUUAGUAACGUAGCUAACGCGUGAAGUUGACCGCCUGGGGAGUACGGUCGCAAGAUUAAAACCUCAAAGGAAUUGACGGGGUCAUAGCUGUUUCCU